CUACGGGUGGCAGCAGUGGGGAAUAUUGGACAAUGGGGGAAACCCUGAUCCAGCAAUGCCGCGUGUGUGAAGAAGGCCUGCGGGUUGUAAAGCACUUUCGGUUGGGAGGACUGCUUCUAGCACUAAUAUUGUUGGAAGUUGACGUUACCUUCAGAAGAAGCACCGGCUAACUCCGUGCCAGCAGCCGCGGUAAUACGGAGGGUGCAAGCGUUAAUCGGAAUUACUGGGCGUAAAGCGCGCGUAGGCGGCUAGAUCAGUCGGGUGUGAAAGCCCCUGGCUUAACCUGGGAACUGCAUCCGAUACUGUCUAGCUUGAGUACAGGAGAGGAGAGUGGAAUUCCACAUGUAGCGGUGAAAUGCGUAGAUAUGUGGAGGAACACCAAUGGCGAAGGCAGCUCUCUGGCCUGAUACUGACGCUGAGGUGCGAAAGCGUGGGGAGCAAACAGCAUUAGAUACCCUUGUAGUC
RNAcentral lists this ribosomal RNA (465 nucleotides) under uncultured bacterium. RNAcentral describes it as "partial 16S ribosomal RNA". It matches the Rfam family "Bacterial small subunit ribosomal RNA", at positions 339 to 795 of the family's 1533-position model. The record is from RNAcentral.